CGCGGCCUGAGUGAAACCCAAUGGAAAAAGCAUGACAUUUAGAAGUAGAAGACUUCGCUUCAAAUCCCUACUCCUUCACUUACUAAUUUUGUGAUUUGGAAAUAUCCGCGCAAGAUGUUGACGUUGCAGACUUGGUUAGUGCAAGCCUUGUUUAUUUUCCUCACCACUGAAUCUACAGGGCAACACACAAGUUUGCUGAUUGCAAAGCAAAACGUGACACCCCCACCUCAUGCACUGUUGAUUAUUCUACUGUGUAUUUUGUCAACAUUGAAGUCUGGGUAG
RNAcentral lists this small RNA (282 nucleotides) under Pan troglodytes (chimpanzee). RNAcentral's name for it is "processed transcript". Lineage: Eukaryota; Metazoa; Chordata; Mammalia; Primates; Hominidae. The record is from RNAcentral.